CUUCUAACUUACUAACCUCAAAUUUUUCAAGCUAUUUGAUAUAGCAUCAGAGAUAACUACUAUACUCGUUCUUUUUACCAUUGUCUUGGUGAAGAUGGUUCAGCACGAUUUAACGACGAAGUCCACUUUGUCGUAUGUCUUCUUCAGAGAGUGUAGGAAGUUUGAAUUUAAAGUUAUUUAUUCACUGAGACAAUGUAUAUAAUUAAAAGCUAGCCCAACGUGUUGUUAAGUAUAGAACAACGCCAUCGGUCUAUGCGUGAGUGAGGCUUAACUAUGUCUAAUUCUUAAUACUACCACAACCCUUUUUAUAUUAAACUAUUUGGGCGUAGUCCCAAAAAAAUACGUACGUGUCAUGGAAAACAGGAAAUUCGACUAUAAGUUUCUAUUUCAUGUUUACUAUGACCAAUUAUUUAAAUACAUAAUUUUAAUCUUAAAAAUCUAUAUAAACGAUUAUUAAAACCAUGUUCGUAAUCCAAUUAUCUCGUAACUAUGUUUUACACACAAAUAUUCUCUUUAUCUCUUUAACUGCUACUUGCAACUAUUUUCAAUCACGGGUCUAGCUUUUUCGUCAAUUGGUAGCAAUAAAGGUCUACCUUCUAACUUACUAACCUCAAAUUUUUCCAAGCUAUUUGAUAUAGCAUCAGAGAUAACUACUAUACUCGUUCUUUUUACCAUUGUCUUGGUGAAGAUGGUUCAGCACGAUUUAACGACGAAGUCCACUUUGUCGUAUGUCUUCUUCAGAGAGUGUAGGAAGUUUGAAUUUAAAGUUAUUUAUUCACUGAGACAAUGUAUAUAAUUAAAAGCUAGCCCAACGUGUUGUUAAGUAUAGAACAACGCCAUCGGUCUAUGCGUGAGUGAGGCUUAACUAUGUCUAAUUCUUAAUACUACCACAACCCUCUUUAUAUUAAACUAUUUGGGCGUAGUCCCAAAAAUAUACGUACGUGUCAUGGAAAACAGGAAAUUCGUAGAAUUGUAAACUGGUUCACUUAUCCCAUAUUUCUACAUGCUUAAACAAAAAGCCAAUAAAUUAUUGUACUAUGUGUUUAACUAUCAUAAAUAGUAAAACGAUUAUGUGCUAGUAAAGUGACUAUGUCGGUUUACUACACGAUGUUGUUGCAACAUUAUCCUAUAAUUAAAAUAGACGAUAAGGUGAUGUUGGUUUACAAAAUUAAUUUUUCAUAAAAUAUUUAAUGAUUGUUUUUAAAAAAUGUCUUUUGAUUAAAUUAAUUAUAUCUAUUAUUGUAAUAAAAAAAAAUGUGUUUUUGCUUACUUCGGAUACUACAACCGACUCCUCGUUAUCGCUUCUAAAAGAGUAGCAGGACAUUUUUUUUUUUAUUUAAAAAAAAUUAAUUAAUUGUAUAACAUUUAUUAUGUGCUAUAGUCCAAUAAUCUAAGGCCGUAUUCUCUACAGGCGUCUUGACCGUUAAUGAGUCUUCAUGCUUUUUUAUAUUUAAGGUGUUCUCUGCAUCGGUUGGUAUAGUUGGAUCUGUUAUUAAAUCUAAUAUUUUAUCUGUAUAACAGAUAGAGGUGCUCUAUAAAAUAAUAAAUAAAUUAUAUUUAUAUUUUUUGGUAUAACUCACCUUUUUCGUCUUUUUUGAUACCGGUUUCUUCUCCGGUUUCACACCUAACCUUUUCGCUGAACUUUUUUUUUGUGAUGAUGUUGUUGCAAUAUUAUCCUAUAAUUAAAAUAGACGAUAAGCUGAUGUCGGUUUACAAAAUUAAUUUUUCAUAAAAUAUUUAAUGAUUGUUUUUAAAAAAUGUCUUUUGAUUAAAUUAAUUAUAUCUAUUAUUGUAAUAAAAAAAAAUGUUUUUUUGCUUACUUCGGAUACUACAACCGACUCCUCGUUAUCGCUUCUAAAAGAGUAGCAGGACAUUUUUUAUUUAAAAAAAUUUAAUUAAUUUUAUAACAUUUAUAAUGUGCUAUAGUCCAGUAAUCUAAGGCCGUAUUCUCUACAGGCGUCUUGACCGUUAAUGAGUCUUCAUCCUUUUUUAUAUUUAAGGUGUUCUCUGCAUCGGUUGGUAUAGUUGGAUCUGUUAUUAAAUCUAAUAUUUUAUCUGUAUAACAAAUAGAGGUGCUCUAUAAAAUAAUAAUUAAAUUUUAUUUUUAUUUAUUUUUAUCUAUUUUUUAUACUUAAUAUAUUCAGUGACUUAAAUGAUACUUACGUUUCUGCAUCUCCCUCGACACGAGCCAUGGUCAUACUAAUUUAGCUUUGAUAUCUCGUAGAUAUUACUAACAUAUUACUAAAUAAUAUGAUGAUUGUCCAAAACUACAAUAAAAGAAUAUAAUAGAAACAUGUCCAAUCAGCUCAAGGUUGUAUAGUUGUUAAUUUGGUUGCCUACACUAAACUCCGUUAUUUGGUUAAUUAUUUUUAAAUAAUAUGUUAGUGCACUAGCCUCAGUGCAACAAUUAUUUGGAAUUUGAAAUAAAAUGAUUAAUUAAUCAUCGAAUAUAUGUCUAAUAAAUUUAUUUUUACCUUUGAAAAUUUUGCUUGGAAUAUUUUAUACAUGAAAAUGUCUCCAAUAGCUCUAUGUCUUACGACACCAUUACUAUAGGUAUAGAUAAAAUUAGGUUGCGCGUCGACCUCUGAAAAGUUUGAAUUGAUAAUUGCAUGCUUUUCCGGUAAUUCAAAAUCCACGAAACUAAUUUCUAAAAUAGGAGCUCCAUGCUGACAAACGCGUAUGAGUGGCUUAGACUUUCAGAUUUGACAGUGUAUUUUUCAGAUAAUAUAAUUGUAUUUAUAAUUACCUUAUCUUUAGUAUAUAAAAAUGAAUAAACAUUGUAUCAUUUAAUUCCAAAACCAGUAUGUAUACUAACAAAUUAUGUUUAUAUAAAAGCUAGUUAUAACUUUUUAGCAAUAAUCAAGACAAAAGAAUUGUAUUCGACAUAAUAUUAUCAGUUUCAGUAUUCAGCAUGUAAAACAGCUCAUGAUAUCCUUUUAUGUCCCGAAAUUAAUCAAUUACAUCCUAUAAAUACAAGACCAAUAUGUGAAGUACAACUACUGCAAGAUCCACUCAACGCACCACAAAGUAGCGAAGUAAGAGAAAUACAAAUGAACAUAUUCGUUACAUGUAAUUUGGGCAAGGAAUCAAGUACUAUAGAAGGGGUAGGAAUAAUAUACCUUAAUGAAACUUGUAAAGAUUACGCUACACAAGAUAUGUUUAUACCAGGAAAAAACCAGUCAAGAAGCGUAUCCAGAUUUUAUAUUUAAUUCAAUAUGUCAAACUAAUACAAAUAUGACCAGUUUAGCAACAAUGGAAACCAAAAACAUUUUGAAUAACAAAAUGGACGACUUAAAUUAAGUCUCAAACAUACAUAUGGUUAUUUACAAUUUCUUAAUAAUAAUAUACGUACUUUUGAGGAUAUUGAGGAUAAAAUAAUUAAUAUAUGAAUGUAUAUUAAUAUUAAUAACAUCAACCAGAGAUUGUGGGUUUUUAAUUUUAUGAUAAAAUCUGUAAUAAAAAUAGUGCAACUUGACCAUAGGUCAAGGAGAAGCAUGGAAAUCAUUUUCCGAAACGAACACGCUACAAUAACAUCAAUUUCAUCAUCAUAGUCAAUACUGGAACCAUAUAUGGAAGAACCAUAAGAACAAGCAGUAUCACUGUGUCCAAAAAUGAAGACUUCAUAUUAAACUGCAAAAAUUGGAGAAUUUUUCUUAGAGGGGAGAAAUGUAGAGUAAUCCAAUGUUUUCCUAUUAUUUUAUCUUGAGCUGUUGAGAAACUGUAUUACUAGUUGUAUAAGUUAUUUUAUUAUGUCAUCGUUUUAGUCAAUUUACACAUUUUAGAUAUUUUAGCAAUUUUUUUUAUUUAUGUUUCUUUUUGCGAAGCUGUUACAUGAUAAAAAAACAAAUAGUUGUCUUUUCUUGUUUACCAUCGCACACACAUCCGGGAACUACGACAUAUUUUUCUGUAUAAGAAGGGUCGUAGUUGCUAUUUAGAAAUUAGAUAUAAUUUAACAACAAUUAUACAUAGACCGGUGCAGUUGUUCUAUAUUAACGACUUAUCGGGAUAUUUUUAACUUGUCUCAGUAAAUAAACUUUAUUAUAUAACUUUA
This is a long non-coding RNA of Aphis gossypii (cotton aphid), 4051 nucleotides long. RefSeq lists it as uncharacterized. The record is from RefSeq and is a predicted model, not a curated record. NCBI's taxonomy places the organism in Eukaryota, Metazoa, Arthropoda, Insecta, Hemiptera, Aphididae. The transcript has 2 exons.